AGGACACGAGGAUGGUUUUUGCCUGUGUGGCAAUUUUCUUCUUCUUGCUCCUGGCGACAGCCUAUUCUUCUGCAGGACUUGAACAAUAAAGGUCUCAAACAAAGGCAGGUCUCACAGCUGGGGAAAGGACGCUUGAGGUCAGGGCUCCUUCCUUAACCCCCGGUGAGGUCAGUGUCAUGGGUUGUGCUGGUCCUGUUUUCCUGGGUGAGACUCUGCACAGCCUGUGGGAACUGAUUCACCAAGCCCAGGGGGGAAGGAAUUAUAGGAUCUCCUGCAGGAUGGGGUUCACAGUGCUCUCAGACCACUGGGAUUCAGCCCCUCGUGCUGCAGAGAGGCCGCCUCCACCAAGGCCCGUGCCAGCCCUGGGCUGAGGGACUCCCUCCACUGCUCUAAUCUGACUCCUCUGCUUAAAAGUAAUUUUUAAGCCACAAUUUUAGACUUCCUGACUGAGUGGGGAUUUUUUAAACAACAUUUUCUGAGCCAAAUCCAUCAAUUUAGGAAAACUCACACAUACAGAAAUGCACAAAUAUAUAUUCUGUGUGCAGUUCUGUACCACUCAAUAACACUUUUUUUUUUUCCCCUUUGGACUCCACAGCCCCUCUUUAACAUGGAAAACCCAUUUGUCUACCUCACUGGAUACUGAGUGGAUGAAUACAUUAACUGCUUUGCAGCACGUUGGCCUGGUUUAUUCCUGGUCAGGAACAUCAGCAUAUCUGCACCUCAGCCAGAUUCUGGGAAAUCAGUGAACCACGUAAACCACAACACCGUGGGGAGACUGAAGUGAGCUAAUGCUCAGCUCAUACAAACCACAUGGUUAUUGAAGCUCAGGAAAAGAAACUGAUGAUGGAGCCAGGUAAAACUGGCACGAUCCAGUGUAUUUGUGGAGUUAAACUCCUAUCUUCCAUGGCAAGGAAAGCACUGCAAUAAGAGACAGGUUAUCCAGUCUCAUAUGUGAGUUCAAGAAGAGGGCUGCAGUUUGGGGGGAAAAAGCUUCUAAGAGCCUGGGCUCAACUCCAAAGAAAUUGGUCUCAAUUUAGUGAAGAGGCUUGGAUGUGUGUGAAACCCAAAUGAAUGGGCAGCAGGACCAGGGCAAAUACAUUCGGAGCAUAUUGUGCAGAUGCUGCUGUAGCUGGAGAAAGGAAAGACAGUCUGAUUAACCUCAUUCCCUGAUAAAAAUCACACCAAACACUCUGAGAGAAGAGGAUAAACAUCCUGCCUCAAAGUCUCAUUUUACCCAUGUUGCCCUCCAAGUGCUUGAGAAGCCACAGAGGGACUGCACUUUGUCGAUAUCCCAAUGGAAGGCUGAGGUUACCUCCAACACACCAGAAAUUUUUUUUAACACCUUCAGCUUACAAAUCCUUUAUGGAAUUACAAACAAGAGAUUCUCUGGUUUCAAAGGGGUGGCAAAAAAGCAGACUCUCCUCCAGGACAUGGCUCAGUGGAUCGUAUAACCACCUUCCGAAGAGAGAGCCUGAAACACCAGCACCGUCUGCAGCAGCUUUUCACCUUGCCAAGAGCAAGGCUGGGGGGGCAAAGAUAGUUUAGGUAGUGCUGUGCUGGUGUGCCCACCUUGCUGCUGAUACCCAAAUGUGGCAGUUGAACACUGUAUCUCCCGUUACCCCAUUUUUAAUGCAGCU
Molecule: long non-coding RNA, 1637 nt
Organism: Lepidothrix coronata (blue-crowned manakin)
Lineage: Eukaryota; Metazoa; Chordata; Aves; Passeriformes; Pipridae
Exons: 4
Source: RefSeq, a predicted model, not a curated record